AUUGAACGCUGGCGGCAGGCCUAACACAUGCAAGUCGAGCGGAUGAAGGGAGCUUGCUCCUGGAUUCAGCGGCGGACGGGUGAGUAAUGCCUAGGAAUCUGCCUGGUAGUGGGGGAUAACGUCCGGAAACGGGCGCUAAUACCGCAUACGUCCUGAGGGAGAAGGUGGGGGAUCUUCGGACCUCACGCUAUCAGAUGAGCCUAGGUCGGAUUAGCUAGUUGGUGGGGUAAAGGCCUACCAAGGCGACGAUCCGUAACUGGUCUGAGAGGAUGAUCAGUCACACUGGAACUGAGACAAGGUCCAGACUCCUACGGGAGGCAGCAGUGGGGAAUAUUGGACAAUGGGCGAAAGCCUGAUCCAGCCAUGCCGCGUGUGUGAAGAAGGUCUUCGGAUUGUAAAGCACUUUAAGUUGGGAGGAAGGGCAGUAAGUUAAUACCUUGCUGUUUUGACGUUACCAACAGAAUAAGCACCGGCUAACUUCGUG
RNAcentral lists this ribosomal RNA (484 nucleotides) under uncultured bacterium. Its description in RNAcentral is "partial 16S ribosomal RNA". It matches the Rfam family "Bacterial small subunit ribosomal RNA", at positions 30 to 507 of the family's 1533-position model. The record is from RNAcentral.